This 64-nucleotide transfer RNA is filed under the name Mylabris aulica. Its description in RNAcentral is "tRNA-Phe". Lineage: Eukaryota; Metazoa; Arthropoda; Insecta; Coleoptera; Meloidae. The record is from RNAcentral.
GUCUAGAUAGCUUAUAAUAGAGCAUAGCACUGAAGAUGCUAGGGAAACCUCAGGUUUCUAGAUA